Molecule: ribosomal RNA, 2902 nt
Filed under: Klebsiella pneumoniae
Lineage: Bacteria; Pseudomonadati; Pseudomonadota; Gammaproteobacteria; Enterobacterales; Enterobacteriaceae
Description: 23S ribosomal RNA
Rfam family: Bacterial large subunit ribosomal RNA
Source: RNAcentral
GGUUAAGCGACUAAGCGUACACGGUGGAUGCCCUGGCAGUCAGAGGCGAUGAAGGACGUGCUAAUCUGCGAAAAGCGUCGGUAAGGUGAUAUGAACCGUUAUAACCGGCGAUGUCCGAAUGGGGAAACCCAGUGCAAUUCGUUGCACUAUCGUUAACUGAAUACAUAGGUUAACGAGGCGAACCGGGGGAACUGAAACAUCUAAGUACCCCGAGGAAAAGAAAUCAACCGAGAUUCCCCCAGUAGCGGCGAGCGAACGGGGAGCAGCCCAGAGUCUGAAUCAGCUUGUGUGUUAGUGGAACGGUCUGGAAAGUCCGACGGUACAGGGUGAUAGUCCCGUACACCAAAAUGCACAGGCUGUGAACUCGAAGAGUAGGGCGGGACACGUGGUAUCCUGUCUGAAUAUGGGGGGACCAUCCUCCAAGGCUAAAUACUCCUGACUGACCGAUAGUGAACCAGUACCGUGAGGGAAAGGCGAAAAGAACCCCGGCGAGGGGAGUGAAAAAGAACCUGAAACCGUGUACGUACAAGCAGUGGGAGCACCUUCGGGUGUGACUGCGUACCUUUUGUAUAAUGGGUCAGCGACUUAUAUUCUGUAGCAAGGUUAACCGUAUAGGGGAGCCGCAGGGAAACCGAGUCUUAACUGGGCGUUAAGUUGCAGGGUAUAGACCCGAAACCCGGUGAUCUAGCCAUGGGCAGGUUGAAGGUUGGGUAACACUAACUGGAGGACCGAACCGACUAAUGUUGAAAAAUUAGCGGAUGACUUGUGGCUGGGGGUGAAAGGCCAAUCAAACCGGGAGAUAGCUGGUUCUCCCCGAAAGCUAUUUAGGUAGCGCCUCGUGAACUCAUCUUCGGGGGUAGAGCACUGUUUCGGCUAGGGGGUCAUCCCGACUUACCAACCCGAUGCAAACUACGAAUACCGAAGAAUGUUAUCACGGGAGACACACGGCGGGUGCUAACGUCCGUCGUGAAGAGGGAAACAACCCAGACCGCCAGCUAAGGUCCCAAAGUCAUGGUUAAGUGGGAAACGAUGUGGGAAGGCACAGACAGCCAGGAUGUUGGCUUAGAAGCAGCCAUCAUUUAAAGAAAGCGUAAUAGCUCACUGGUCGAGUCGGCCUGCGCGGAAGAUGUAACGGGGCUAAACCAUGCACCGAAGCUGCGGCAGCGACACUAUGUGUUGUUGGGUAGGGGAGCGUUCUGUAAGCCUGCGAAGGUGUGCUGUGAGGCAUGCUGGAGGUAUCAGAAGUGCGAAUGCUGACAUAAGUAACGAUAAAGCGGGUGAAAAGCCCGCUCGCCGGAAGACCAAGGGUUCCUGUCCAACGUUAAUCGGGGCAGGGUGAGUCGACCCCUAAGGCGAGGCCGAAAGGCGUAGUCGAUGGGAAACAGGUUAAUAUUCCUGUACUUGGUGUUACUGCGAAGGGGGGACGGAGAAGGCUAUGUUAGCCGGGCGACGGUUGUCCCGGUUUAAGCAUGUAGGCUGAUUGUCCAGGCAAAUCCGGAUAAUCAAGGCUGAGGUGUGAUGACGAGGCACUACGGUGCUGAAGUAACAAAUGCCCUGCUUCCAGGAAAAGCCUCUAAGCAUCAGGUAACAUCAAAUCGUACCCCAAACCGACACAGGUGGUCAGGUAGAGAAUACCAAGGCGCUUGAGAGAACUCGGGUGAAGGAACUAGGCAAAAUGGUGCCGUAACUUCGGGAGAAGGCACGCUGGUGUGUAGGUGAAGUCCCUGCGGAUGGAGCUGAGACCAGUCGAAGAUACCAGCUGGCUGCAACUGUUUAUUAAAAACACAGCACUGUGCAAACACGAAAGUGGACGUAUACGGUGUGACGCCUGCCCGGUGCCGGAAGGUUAAUUGAUGGGGUUAUCCGUAAGGAGAAGCUCUUGAUCGAAGCCCCGGUAAACGGCGGCCGUAACUAUAACGGUCCUAAGGUAGCGAAAUUCCUUGUCGGGUAAGUUCCGACCUGCACGAAUGGCGUAAUGAUGGCCAGGCUGUCUCCACCCGAGACUCAGUGAAAUUGAACUCGCUGUGAAGAUGCAGUGUACCCGCGGCAAGACGGAAAGACCCCGUGAACCUUUACUAUAGCUUGACACUGAACAUUGAGCCUUGAUGUGUAGGAUAGGUGGGAGGCUUUGAAGCGUGGACGCCAGUCUGCGUGGAGCCAACCUUGAAAUACCACCCUUUAAUGUUUGAUGUUCUAACGUUGGCCCCUUACCGGGGUUGCGGACAGUGUCUGGUGGGUAGUUUGACUGGGGCGGUCUCCUCCCAAAGCGUAACGGAGGAGCACGAAGGUUAGCUAAUCCUGGUCGGACAUCAGGAGGUUAGUGCAAUGGCAUAAGCUAGCUUGACUGCGAGCGUGACGGCGCGAGCAGGUGCGAAAGCAGGUCAUAGUGAUCCGGUGGUUCUGAAUGGAAGGGCCAUCGCUCAACGGAUAAAAGGUACUCCGGGGAUAACAGGCUGAUACCGCCCAAGAGUUCAUAUCGACGGCGGUGUUUGGCACCUCGAUGUCGGCUCAUCACAUCCUGGGGCUGAAGUAGGUCCCAAGGGUAUGGCUGUUCGCCAUUUAAAGUGGUACGCGAGCUGGGUUUAGAACGUCGUGAGACAGUUCGGUCCCUAUCUGCCGUGGGCGCUGGAGAAUUGAGGGGGGCUGCUCCUAGUACGAGAGGACCGGAGUGGACGCAUCACUGGUGUUCGGGUUGUCAUGCCAAUGGCACUGCCCGGUAGCUAAAUGCGGAAGAGAUAAGUGCUGAAAGCAUCUAAGCACGAAACUUGCCCCGAGAUGAGUUCUCCCUGAGACUUUAAGUCUCCUGAAGGAACGUUAAAGACGAUGACGUUGAUAGGCCGGGUGUGUAAGCGCAGCGAUGCGUUGAGCUAACCGGUACUAAUGAACCGUGAGGCUUAACCUU